UCCCUAGUGGCUCAGAUGGUAAAACAUCUGUCUGCAAUGCAGGAGACCCAGGUUUCAUCCCUGGGUUGGGAA
Transfer RNA from Ovis aries (sheep), 72 nucleotides. It matches the Rfam family "tRNA". Rfam says of the family: Transfer RNA (tRNA) molecules are approximately 80 nucleotides in length. The record is from Rfam. NCBI's taxonomy places the organism in Eukaryota, Metazoa, Chordata, Mammalia, Artiodactyla, Bovidae.